Molecule: RNA transcript, 4707 nt
Organism: Manihot esculenta (cassava)
Lineage: Eukaryota; Viridiplantae; Streptophyta; Magnoliopsida; Malpighiales; Euphorbiaceae
Gene name: transcriptional adapter ADA2a
Exons: 15
Source: RefSeq, a predicted model, not a curated record
AUAAGUUCCGAAACCGUACUCUGCUUCGAGCGUAACUUUGUAUUGAAGCUGAGCUCUUCGAUAGUUUGCUCUUUGAUUUCUCAAAUCAGUCGACCAUGGGCCGCUCGCGCGCAGUGGCCCGUUCUAUUGAUGAAGACGCCCACCACAGGAAUUGAUUGAUUGGAUGCUGAGAAAGUUUAAGGAGAACGCAAACACUUGCUGAACUUUUCAACUUACUGUUUUUAUUUCAAUGACGCUUUAUUAAACUUGCUACGAAAUUGGAAAUCAUUUUCAAUUCUCUUUUCGUUUUAGUCCAGUUACAAGACUAUGCACGCGGUUAACUCGCUUCAUUACGUUUUCUCUGUGGAGAAAAAAGAAAGAGAGAAUUUGAUUUUUUGUUGCAUAGACUAGAUUACGAAGAAUUUGUUUUUCUUGUUAGGAAAAGAAAGAAUCGAUUUGUGUUGUAUGGACUAGUUUGCGAAGAAUUUGAUUUUCUUGUUAGUAUUUACGUGUGAUUAUUCAUUUUUUAAAGUCAGAACUCUUUCUGUUAGUAAGGAUUGUUUUCUGUUCCCAGAACUUAUUCUGGAAGUGAAAAGAUGGAGAAGAAGACAAAAGAAACAAAAAUGCAAAUGACUUUAUUUGAGUCAAGUACUCCUACUGUUUUAAGAACAAUGAGAAUGCUCUACUUUUGUCAUGGGAACCUUUGUGGUUGCAAUCCUCCAGACUUUCUGAUUCAUACCUGGUUUUGGAGUAUUAGAUAGCCUUUUGUAACUUUUUUGGUGUUUAUGUUGGUCCAUGGCCCUAGAUUUGCCUUCUGGCCUUUAAUAUUUUAUCGUCAUUGUUGCCUCACUCCUUUCUUCUCUCAUCCCCUUGUUUUUUGAGUAGGUCAAAGAGAAAAAAGACAGGUUCCGGUCUAGAGAGUGCGGAGACUGCAUCUACGGUAUGUCAAGAAAUGGUUGAAGGGAAAGCGGCACUCUACCACUGUAAUUAUUGUAAUAAAGACAUCACUGGCAUGAUUCGCAUCAAAUGUGCAGUGUGUCCGGAUUUUGACCUUUGCAUAGAGUGCUUUUCUGUUGGAGCUGAGGUUACUCCUCAUAAAAGCAGUCAUCCGUACAGGGUUAUGGACAAUUUGUCUUUCCCACUCAUUUGUCCAGACUGGAAUGCAGAUGAAGAGAUAUUACUCCUUGAGGGUAUUGAAAUGUAUGGAUUUGGAAAUUGGACUGAAGUUGCAGAACAUGUUGGAACCAAGAGCAAGUUACAAUGUAUUGAUCACUAUAAUGCUGUUUACAUGAAUUCUCCAUGCUUUCCUCUUCCUGACAUGUCUCAUGUUAUGGGAAAGAGCAGAGAGGAGCUCCUUGCAAUGGCUAAAGGACAUGUUGUAAUCAAGAAAGAGUUUCCUGCUCUUGGGGGGCUUACACUGGAAGAGGAGUCUCCCUCAUCUACAAUAAUCAAAAGUGAAGCACAACAAAAAGAUGUAGUUUGUCAAUUGUCAUCUAGCUUAAAAGCAGAAUUUGGUCCUUCUAUGAGUUCAAGCGGCGAUAAUACUUUCUCAGGUGCAGUCAAGAAGGCCUCCAAUAUGGCCCAGAUUAAGGAUUCCAUUAAAGUGGAAGAUUCUCAGUCGGACAGGAGUGUUGGUGAGAAAAAACUUAGGAUUUCAGGAGAGGAAGGGCCUUCAAUGACAGAGCUGAGUGGCUACAAUUUCAAGAGGCAGGAAUUUGAGAUUGAAUAUGAUAAUGAUGCAGAGCAAUUAUUGGCAGAUAUGGAAUUCAAGGACACUGACACCAAUGCUGAACGUGAACUGAAACUGCAGGUUCUGCGUAUCUACUCAAAAAGGCUGGAUGAGAGGAAACGUAGAAAAGAUUUCAUAUUAGAAAGAAAUUUACUUCACCCUGAUGCAUUUGAGAAUACCCUUUCACCUGAAGAGAGGGAAAUAUAUCAGCGUUACAAGGUCUUCAUGAGGUUCCACUCAAAAGAAGAGCAUGAAGAGUUGAUGGAGAGGGUUAUUGAGGAACAUCGGAUUGUUAAACGAAUACAGGUUCUUCAGGAAGCUAGAGCUGCUGGCUGUCGAACAGCUGCUGAGGUGAAUAGAUUUAUCGAGCAGAAGAAAAAGAAGGAAGCUGAUGAAAGUGCAAAAAGAGUGAAAGAAAGUGCAGUGGCUGCUCUAAGUGGUAAAGUGUUGCAGAGGCCUAGUAAUCUUAAAGGAGAAGUUGAUGGCAGUCCUCGUGGAGUUGUCAGGGGGUCCACUGGUUUACAUAUUGGUGGGAUUGACUCACCUUCGACUAUUGCAAAUAAAAUCUCAAGCUCCUUAGAUGAUUGGGAUAUCUCUGGAUUCCUUGGGGCUGAUUUGCUCUCUGAAUCGGAGAAACACCUUUGUGGCGAGUUGAGAAUACUACCUUCACAAUAUCUGAGCAUGCUUCAGAAAAUGUCAGAGGAGAUAAUGAAGGGUACUGUUAGCAAGAAAUCUGAUGCACAUAGCUUGUUCAAGGUGGAUCCAAGCAAAGUUGAUAAAGUUUAUGAUAUGCUGCUGAAAAGGGGAUUGGUCAAGCAUGACUAGUGCCACCUGUUUUUGUCACGCAGGUCCGUAUGUACGGAAGUGUCAUACCCUUUCUCCACGCCAGGCGGCUAUUUAGUUCCCUUGGCGCGCAUGCGGUUAGGACUGCGAAGUGAUUGAGCCUGCUAUCCUUCAUCACGUCACAUCAUCGGACUGGAUAUCUUCUCAUCGGACCUGGGCUCGGACGACUCGGCUUGCCUCAUGCGUCUGGACCAAGACUUAAGAUGAUGGACCGGUCAACUAAAGAAGGCCCCAUGGGCUUUGGAUCGGUGCUGCUUUCUUGGGUCUGGCCUUGCCUAGGGGUUGCGAGACCCGGCGGUCAUCAUUAAUGAUUUUCAAGGAAGAGUGAGAAUUAAACUUCUAUGGUUAAAUGUGUUUAUUAUACCUAUGUGAAUGAUUAUACAAACUAAACUUAUAAUGUUAAGUGAAGUAUAUAUUGAUAAAAAAAAUUAUUCAAUAAUUCUUUAUAAUAACGUUAAGAAUAUUUUUUUUUUAAUGUUAAGAAAAAUAUUUUCAAUCAGACACUAAUAUAUAAAAAAAUAUUUUGCAUUAUAAUAAUAUGUUUAUUAAAACAAUAAUAUUUAUUGAUAAUAGUUGCAGAAGUAACACCACUUUCUUAAGAAAAUUCAUGUUACAAGCUAUUACUCCACUUGUUCUUAGAUUGAUAAUUUUAAGUGCAAGUAGGAUGAAUGAUUAAUUGAUUUAAAGCUAAUCUUGACGUAUAAAACAUAGUUAAUGAAGAGCAAACAAGUUGCCAUGUGAACGCUACUUUGCUUUUGCAAGCUAAAUACUGAAUCCUGUAAUAGCCCCAGAAUCUUAACCUGAAACCCCCAACGGCGUAUCUUUCUCUGUUGUUAGGUGCUAUGGUGGUGAUACUUUCCUUUUUAACACCAUCAAUCUCUUUUCUUUUGACAUCAAGAAAGAAAUAAACAAGUACAUCCGAAUCUGCUAGAGCAUGGCCUGUAAUUGGUCACCUUCCCUCCUAGCAGUGUCAUUUCCACUUCACAUAAUCUUGAGGAAUUUGGCUGACAAUUUAUGGGCCAUAUUCACCAUGAAAUUUGGCAUGCAUCCCACAUUGGUUGUAAGCAAUCUCGCUAACGAGUGCCUUACUACUAAUGACAGUUUGUGCCAGUCGUCCUAAAUCUCUUGCCAUGGAAAUCCUAGGCUAUAUCUUUUCUAUGUUUAGCUUCACUCCUUGUGGAGAGUAUUGGCUGUAAAAGAGUUGCACAGGCGAUGGAUGGAGAACAAAAAAGUAGCUCCAAUAUAUUUGUGGUGGAGAUGAAGAAAUGGUUUUGGGAUGUAACCUUAAAUGUGAUACCCAAGAUAAUAGUAGGGAAGGGAUAUGCGAAGUAUACAGAAAAUGGUGAUAGGGUGCUGAAAGGAGCUAUGGAUGGCGACAUGCUCUCUGGGAUUUUUUUGAUGUAUCGGGUAAGUUUGUAGUGUCUUAUAAGCUGCCAUUUCUAAGAUUGGCUGGAUUUUGGGUGGAGCUUGGAACCCAAUGAGGAAGACCGCAACAGAGCUGGACCAUUUAUUGGAAGGAUGGGUAGAGAAACACUAGCAGAAGAAAGCUUCAGGCACAUUCAUGAUGAACAGCUGGUGCAGAUGAUCUUUCCAGUCGAGAUGCUGAUACCGUCAACAAAGGCUUUUUAUUUUCGCAAUCUCAGACACAACAACCAUUACAGAGACUUGGACACUAUCAUUAUUUACUCAAAACUAUGAUGUCUUGAAGAAAGCCAAAUAUGAACUAGACAUCCAUGUCGGUAAAGACAAGUCGGACAUGAAGAAUUUGGUUCAUCUCCAGGCCAUCCUAAAGACAAGUUGUAUCAUGCUGCUCCAUUGUCACUCCCACAUGAACCCAUGCAAGACUACUCUAGGAGGCUACCAUAUUUCAGCAGGCACACGACUUAUUGUGGAUGUUUCAAAAAUUCAUCAAGAUUCACGGGUGGGUUGGAUCAAACCGAGUUCUCAACCUGAGAUUUCUUCUCGGAAGAAUGUUUCGAAAAUUCAUCAAGAUUACUACGUUGAUACAUAUUAAAUCUAGAUAUCACAAACAGAAAAAAAGAAAACCUAUUGUAUUUUCAUUAAUGGGGAAAGAGAAAUAUUAGACUAUGUGCUAAGAUCUAUUGCAUGCACAGAAGCUAAAUGGAAAUUUCCAUUUACUGUCUAGUUUCUAUGGA